This 253-nucleotide ribosomal RNA is filed under the name uncultured bacterium. Its description in RNAcentral is "partial 16S ribosomal RNA". It matches the Rfam family "Bacterial small subunit ribosomal RNA", at positions 524 to 776 of the family's 1533-position model. The record is from RNAcentral.
UACGUAGGCAGCAAGCGUUGUUCGGAGUUAUUGGGCGUAAAGGGCGCGUAGGCGGCGGGGUAAGUCGGGUGUGAAAUCUCAGGGCUCAACCCUGAAACUGCACUUGAUACUGCUCUGCUUGAGGACUGGAGAGGAGACUGGAAUUCACGGUGUAGCAGUGAAAUGCGUAGAUAUCGUGAGGAAGACCAGUGGCGAAGGCGGGUCUCUGGACAGUUCCUGACGCUGAGGCGCGAAGGCCAGGGGAGCAAACGGG